UCGCACGCAGAGAGGCUCAUGCAAAUAUGCAAACAAACAACAACAACAACUUGAGGUGGAAGACGGCACACCACAGGAAACGCAAACGCAGCUCCGCACUUCCUGUUGAUGCUCACCCGCAGCAUGCAAAGAGAGACGGAGGAAAGGGAGGUAGCUGAAAAUGUAGUUUAAGGCAGCAUGGGGAGCACAGUGGACUCCAUAAUCCUGAAAUGGAAGACAUUUGGGACGACCAGAACCCUUCCUCGAGCUGGCCGUCCGGCCAAACUGGGCAAUCGGGGGAGAAGAGCCUAGGUGAGAGAGGUGAAGAACAACCCAAAGAUCACUGUGACUGAGUUCCAGAGAUGCAGUCGGGACAUGGGAGAAAGUUCGAGAAGGUCAACCAUCACUGCAGCCCUCCACCAGUCGGGGCUUUAUGGCAGAGUGGCCCGACGGAAGGUCAAUUGGUUAGCACAUCCAUCUCACAGUUCAUAAAUUGCUGGUCCCUGUCAGGGCACUUGCCUUCUUGUGCAGAUGUUGCAUGUUUCCCCAUGCUUGAAUGGGUUUUCUCCUCUUCUCCCAGUUUCCUUCCUCAUUCCAAAUACAUGCAUGUUAGGUUAAUUGAAGACUAAAUUGUCCUU
Long non-coding RNA from Phyllopteryx taeniolatus (common seadragon), 617 nucleotides. RefSeq lists it as uncharacterized. The transcript is spliced from 3 exons. Lineage: Eukaryota; Metazoa; Chordata; Actinopteri; Syngnathiformes; Syngnathidae. The record is from RefSeq and is a predicted model, not a curated record.